Gallus gallus (chicken) is the source of this 516-nucleotide long non-coding RNA. Lineage: Eukaryota; Metazoa; Chordata; Aves; Galliformes; Phasianidae. The record is from Ensembl.
CCGGGAUGGCGGCGGUUGGCGUGUGGUGUGUGACAGGGCCGUGACGGCCGCUGCUGCCAGAACAUGGGCAGCAGGAGAGCGGGGAUCUUGUCUAUGUUAGGAAAAGGGGAAGCAAGGUUAAAAGAAUGAAGCCAGCAAAGGAAAAAAGUAGUGCUUUGGGCGGAUUUGGUGUGAAAGUUCCUUGGUUUGGAAAUCAUCUUGCAAAGACUGUGGGAAAUGCUGCCCUAUGUGAGGUUCUAAACUGGCAGGCAGAGUACCUUUGUGCAUGAUGCGGAAACAUCAUUGUUACUUCACAGGCUGCUGGGAACACACUGAAGGCAAAUGGAUCAGACUGAGGAUGGUAUGCUGCUGGAAGAUACAGAUCAGAAGCAGUCAUCUUCUGUGGGCUGGAAAGUGUCAGAGUUGUUAUCUUUCACAAAUAUCAGAAAUGAGCAGCAAAAUUACCUUUCACUUCUGGAGCAAACACACGUCUCUCUCUUCCAUACCAUACAGUCAGCAGUAAGAUCUAAUGACUGG